This 375-nucleotide ribosomal RNA is filed under the name uncultured organism. RNAcentral's name for it is "bacterial SSU rRNA". It matches the Rfam family "Archaeal small subunit ribosomal RNA", at positions 476 to 851 of the family's 1478-position model. The record is from RNAcentral.
CCAGCACCCCGAGUGGUCGGGACGAUUAUUGGGCCUAAAGCAUCCGUAGCCGGUUCUACAAGUCUUCCGUUAAAUCCACCUGCUUAACAGAUGGGCUGCGGAGGAUACUAUGGAGCUAGGAGGCGGGAGAGGCAAGCGGUACUUAGUGGGUAGGGGUAAAAUCCGUUGAUCCAUUGAAGACCACCAGUGGCGAAGGCGGCUUGCCAGAACGCACUCGACGGUGAGGGAUGAAAGCUGGGGGAGCAAACCGGAUUAGAUACCCGGGUAGUCCCAGCUGUAAACGAUGCAGACUCGGUGAUGAAUAGGCUUCGUGCCUAUUCAGUGCCGCAGGGAAGCCGUUAAGUCUGCCGCCUGGGGAGUACGGUCGCAAGACUG